UACGAAGGGGGCUAGCGUUGUUCGGAAUCACUGGGCGUAAAGCGCACGUAGGCGGACUUAUAAGUCAGGGGUGAAAUCCCGGGGCUCAACCUCGGAACUGCCUUUGAUACUGUGAGUCUCGAGACCGGAAGAGGUGAGUGGAAUUCCUAGUGUAGAGGUGAAAUUCGUAGAUAUUAGGAAGAACACCAGUGGCGAAGGCGGCUCACUGGUCCGGUUCUGACGCUGAGGUGCGAAAGCGUGGGGAG
This 245-nucleotide ribosomal RNA is filed under the name uncultured bacterium. RNAcentral's name for it is "partial 16S ribosomal RNA". It matches the Rfam family "Bacterial small subunit ribosomal RNA", at positions 524 to 768 of the family's 1533-position model. The record is from RNAcentral.